RNAcentral lists this ribosomal RNA (500 nucleotides) under uncultured bacterium. RNAcentral's name for it is "partial 16S ribosomal RNA". It matches the Rfam family "Bacterial small subunit ribosomal RNA", at positions 30 to 523 of the family's 1533-position model. The record is from RNAcentral.
AUUGAACGCUGGCGGAAUGCUUUACACAUGCAAGUCGAACGAUGAACCUUAGCUUGCUAGGGGGAUUAGUGGCGAACGGGUGAGUAACAUAUCGGAACGUACCUAGUAAUGGGGGAUAACUAGUCGAAAGAUUAGCUAAUACCGCAUACGCCCUGAGGGGGAAAGUAGGGGAUCUUCGGACCUUACGUUAUUAGAGCGGCCGAUAUCUGAUUAGUUAGUUGGUGGGGUAAAGGCCUACCAAGGCGAGGAUCAGUAGCUGGUCUGAGAGGACGACCAGCCACACGGGAACUGAGACACGGUCCAGACUGCUACGGGAGGAAGCAGUGGGGAAUUUUGGACAAUGGGGGCAACCCUGAUCCAGCCAUUCCGCGUGAGUGAAGAAGGCCUUCGGGUUGUAAAGCUCUUUCGCAAGGGAAGAAAACUUACAUUCUAAUAAAGUGUGAGGCUGACGGUACCUUGAUAAGAAGCACCGGCUAACUACGUGCCAGCCGCCGCGGUAA